This 63-nucleotide transfer RNA is filed under the name Rattus norvegicus (Norway rat). It matches the Rfam family "tRNA", at positions 1 to 62 of the family's 71-position model. From Rfam's summary of the family: Transfer RNA (tRNA) molecules are approximately 80 nucleotides in length. Their secondary structure includes four short double-helical elements and three loops (D, anti-codon, and T loops). Further hydrogen bonds mediate the characteristic L-shaped molecular structure. tRNAs have two regions of fundamental functional importance: the anti-codon, which is responsible for specific mRNA codon recognition, and the 3' end, to which the tRNAs corresponding amino acid is attached (by aminoacyl-tRNA synthetases). tRNAs cope with the degeneracy of the genetic code in two manners: having more than one tRNA (with a specific anti-codon) for a particular amino acid; and 'wobble' base-pairing, i.e. permitting non-standard base-pairing at the 3rd anti-codon position. The record is from Rfam by way of RNAcentral. Lineage: Eukaryota; Metazoa; Chordata; Mammalia; Rodentia; Muridae.
GGGGAUUUAGCUCAGUGGUAGAGCGCUUGCCUAGCAAGCACAAGGCCAUGGGUUCAGUCCCCA